This is a long non-coding RNA of Etheostoma spectabile (orangethroat darter), 155 nucleotides long. RefSeq lists it as uncharacterized. The transcript is spliced from 3 exons. The record is from RefSeq and is a predicted model, not a curated record. NCBI's taxonomy places the organism in Eukaryota, Metazoa, Chordata, Actinopteri, Perciformes, Percidae.
UUUGCCCAUGUAUUUGGCAUCCUGAAAAUCAACACCUUUUCUGAUGUUUUCGUCUCUUUUAUCGACACUUUUGUUUUUGUUUUUUCAAUGUUUUUUGCUCUUUUUUUGACGAUUAACUCUUCUUUUCACUACCAUUGUACACGUGUUUAUAACAU